GGCCCCGCACAAGCGGUGGAGCAUGUGGUUUAAUUCGAUGAUACGCGAGGAACCUUACCAGGGCUUAAAUGUAGUGGGACAGGUCUAGAGAUAGACCCUUCUUCGGACUCAUUACAAGGUGCUGCAUGGUUGUCGUCAGCUCGUGCCGUGAGGUGUCAGGUUAAGUCCUAUAACGAGCGCAACCCCUAUCGUUAGUUGCCAGCGAGUAAUGUCGGGAACUCUAACGAAACUGCCAGUGCAAACUGUGAGGAAGGUGGGGAUGACGUCAAAUCAUCACGGCCCUUACGUCCUGGCUACACACGUGCUACAAUGGCCGGUACAGAGAGCAGCAAACUCGCGAGAGCUAGCA
RNAcentral lists this ribosomal RNA (349 nucleotides) under uncultured bacterium. Its description in RNAcentral is "bacterial SSU rRNA". It matches the Rfam family "Bacterial small subunit ribosomal RNA", at positions 917 to 1269 of the family's 1533-position model. The record is from RNAcentral.